GGGCGUAGGUGGACGGCUGACGGUGAACCUUUGGUUUGCUGAGGAAAGUCCUCUCUCAUUCUGGAUUGGGUAACCGUGCAAACGGUAAGGGUGAGAAUCCUUGCAGAGACGCAGAAACGACACAGCCCUCGAAUAAUGCGAUGAUUCAUUUGAUGAUGAGGUCUUUGAGGGAUUUGUUGAAACGGUCAAUCUGCUCCCGGAGCAAGUCCAAAUAUUGGGAUCAGUUAUCCAGACUGCCCAUAGGUAGGACGCAUAGUAGAAUGCCGUUUAAAACAAAAAGAGGCUUACGGCCUACACCC
RNAcentral lists this RNase P RNA (299 nucleotides) under Euryarchaeota archaeon RBG_13_31_8. Its description in RNAcentral is "RNase P RNA component". It matches the Rfam family "Archaeal RNase P". Rfam says of the family: Ribonuclease P (RNase P) is a ubiquitous endoribonuclease, found in archaea, bacteria and eukarya as well as chloroplasts and mitochondria. Its best characterised activity is the generation of mature 5'-ends of tRNAs by cleaving the 5'-leader elements of precursor-tRNAs. Cellular RNase Ps are ribonucleoproteins. Lineage: Archaea; Methanobacteriati; Methanobacteriota. The record is from RNAcentral.